RNAcentral lists this ribosomal RNA (253 nucleotides) under uncultured bacterium. Its description in RNAcentral is "partial 16S ribosomal RNA". It matches the Rfam family "Bacterial small subunit ribosomal RNA", at positions 524 to 776 of the family's 1533-position model. The record is from RNAcentral.
UACAGACGGUCCAAACGUUAUUCGGAAUCACUGGGCGUAAAGGGCGCGUAGGCGGUGCGGUAAGUCACCUGUGAAAUCUCCUGGCUCAACUGGGAGCUUGCAGGCGAAACUGCCGUGCUGGAGUGUGGGAGAGGUGCGUGGAAUUCCUGGUGUAGCGGUGAAAUGCGUAGAUAUCAGGAGGAACACCUGUGGCGAAAGCGGCGCACUGGACCACAACUGACGCUGAGGCGCGAAAGCUAGGGGAGCAAACAGG